This 182-nucleotide small nuclear RNA is filed under the name Canis lupus dingo (dingo). RNAcentral describes it as "U2 spliceosomal RNA (ENSCAFG00020003064.1)". The stretch from base 1 to 98 matches the Rfam family "U2 spliceosomal RNA". Rfam says of the family: U2 is a small nuclear RNA (snRNA) component of the spliceosome (involved in pre-mRNA splicing). Complementary binding between U2 snRNA (in an area lying towards the 5' end but 3' to hairpin I) and the branchpoint sequence (BPS) of the intron results the bulging out of an unpaired adenosine, on the BPS, which initiates a nucleophilic attack at the intronic 5' splice site, thus starting the first of two transesterification reactions that mediate splicing. Lineage: Eukaryota; Metazoa; Chordata; Mammalia; Carnivora; Canidae. The record is from RNAcentral.
AUCUCUUCUUGUCCUUUUGGCUAAGAUCAAGUGUAGUAUCUGUUCUUAUCAUUUUAAAAAUAUUAUUCAAAAGCUGAAGUAUUAAAAUAGCAACAUCUAAGAUUUUUAAGCAUAGACUCAACUGUUAUUUUUUUUAAAUUUUUUUAUUGGAGUUCAAUUUGCCAACAUAUAGCAUGACACCC